Molecule: small nuclear RNA, 18 nt
Filed under: Arabidopsis thaliana (thale cress)
Lineage: Eukaryota; Viridiplantae; Streptophyta; Magnoliopsida; Brassicales; Brassicaceae
Description: snRNA_07611
Source: RNAcentral
GAUUAACGAGAUUCCCAC